GAUCCUGGCUCAGAUUGAACGCUGGCGGCAGGCCUAACACAUGCAAGUCGAACGGUAACAGGAAGCAGCUUGCUGCUUUGCUGACGAGUGGCGGACGGGUGAGUAAUGUCUGGGAAACUGCCUGAUGGAGGGGGAUAACUACUGGAAAUGGUAAGCUAAUACCGCAUAACGUCGCAAGACCAAAAGAGGGGGGACCUUCGGGCCUCUUGCCAUCGGAUGUUAGGCCCUAGAUGGGAUUAGCUAG
Molecule: ribosomal RNA, 244 nt
Filed under: uncultured bacterium
Lineage: Bacteria
Description: partial 16S ribosomal RNA
Rfam family: Bacterial small subunit ribosomal RNA
Source: RNAcentral